Molecule: long non-coding RNA, 1843 nt
Filed under: Panax ginseng (ginseng)
Lineage: Eukaryota; Viridiplantae; Streptophyta; Magnoliopsida; Apiales; Araliaceae
Description: long non-coding RNA (PGIN_LNC003547)
Source: RNAcentral
UUUAUGAAAUGAAAUGUCAGCCUUUGGAUGAACUUGUAAAAAUUGAGAUACAAUCUGAACCGCUAUUGUGCUCUAAAUUCAAAAUUAGGUCCUGAAUUAGGUCCUGUUUUAUUAAUACUUAUAUAGCAUUAUUUUCUAAAUACUCCUAAAUAGCAUUAUUUUCUUAAAACCUCCGUGUUUUUCCUUUCUCUCUUCUCACUCGGUCAUAGAACGACUUCCUCUCGCCAGAAAACCCCUUGCCGCAAAAUCGAAGCUGGUAAAAUGGAUUCCCUUGAAAUCGAUAGCUGCAAAAUCGAAGAGAGAGAAAGCGAAGCCCUUCAUCCCCUCCAGAAACGCAGCAGCUGCAAGAGAGAAAGCCAAGCCCUAGAAAUCUCAGUUCAAGGGUUGUGUGUUUCGACUGAGGGAACGAGUUCCUUCUCCAUCUUUCGAUUCCAUUCUUCAAGGGUUGUGUGUUUUGCUUGGUUUUUUUUUUCCUUUUAUACUCUGCACUAGUUUCCUUUCAAGUAAAAAUUUAUGCAUUACAUGUAAAAAUGUAGGAUGUGUAAUACUUCUUCGGUUUUCGGCUAAUUGAGACUGGUUCAUCAAUCUUUCUGCUGCAGAUUACCCACUUGUCACUCAAGAUGAUAUUUUUCUCAAAAGCAUUAUGUGUGUUUUUUGAUUUAUUUUUGAAAAUUUUGGUAGUUAUUUUUCGUAAAGGUAGUAGAUUUUUAUGAUUCUCGAUUGUUCAUUUAAGUAGUGAUGUGGGUAUUUCAUGUUUUGAUUAUUGGAAAUUUUGGUACAAAUUUUGUUGAUUCUUGAUUGUGCACUCAUUUGACAUGUGGAUUAUUGUGACAUUAUGUGUGGUUUAGGUCUAUUGUUAGUUUUGUUUAUUUUUUAUUAUGAAUUUAUCUUCGUGUGGGUAUUUAUGGCAGGUUUCUAUACAAAUUUCAGUUAGUUUCUUUAUUGCCCAUUAACUAACUGAUUUGAGUUUGUUGGGUUUCAGAUCUCACAUUUUGUCAUAUAUGCCUAAAGAUAUGAAUUUUGUGAUCACACGAGCUACAUUGGCUGAAGAGAGUAUGAACAAAAAUACUUUUCCUUUUAUAUAUUGUUUUGUUAUAGGAUAAAAGUGGUGGGGUUAUACUGUUUGGAGUUUAAUUAUGAUUUUCGUGGUGUUGCAGAUCUCGGAGGUAGAAAUGUUAUGAAUUGAUUGUAAUGAAGCUCUGUUGUACUCUGGGCUUUAGUGAGGAGUGUUGUACCUCCCCAUGUACCUGAACCUGUAGACUUUUUGCAGUAUGCUUGUUAAGAUUCAACCCAACCGGAUAAGAAGACAGAUAUUGGAACUGAUAAAGACGGAUAUUCUUCUUAUGUUGAAUUGAUUAUGAAUUAUGCUUGCAUCUUCCGGACAGAAUCAUGUUGUACAAAGGAGGAAAAACUGCAAUUUUACUACAUUUGUUCUGUGUAUUGGAUAUACAAGGAAUUGUGUAGACUUGGUAAAUCUCUUUUCUUUUCCUCUUGACAGAUGCAAGAUGGAUUUUAACAGGGUAGAAUAAACAAGUUGAUAUUUUGGUUUUUGUUAGGAUGUGUGAAUCCCUAUUUUAAAUGUAAUGAACUGAUUGUAAUGUAACUCUGUUGUACUCUAUUUUUUGAACUUAGUUUGGACCCAAGCCUGAAUUGAUUGUUUGAAGCUCUGUUGCAAUUGAAACAUUAAGAAGAUAUAUUGUGGUUACUUUUCCUUUAUUAGUUUUGAUGGCAACUUAUUUGAUUCCUUGUCAUCUGAACUCAGCUUCCUUAUCAUCUGGAAAGCCAAGAUGAACCAAGUGAACACAACCAUUAAGGUAUCUACUUCCCAAAAGAAGGAUGGUUU